UGUCCCUUGGUGUAAUGGUAACACGACAGACUUUGGCUCUGUCGUUCCUUGUUCGAGUCAAGGAGGGACAA
RNAcentral lists this transfer RNA (71 nucleotides) under Caudoviricetes sp. RNAcentral's name for it is "tRNA-Gln". It matches the Rfam family "tRNA". Rfam says of the family: Transfer RNA (tRNA) molecules are approximately 80 nucleotides in length. The record is from RNAcentral. Lineage: Duplodnaviria; Heunggongvirae; Uroviricota; Caudoviricetes.